Molecule: ribosomal RNA, 433 nt
Filed under: uncultured bacterium
Lineage: Bacteria
Description: partial 16S ribosomal RNA
Rfam family: Bacterial small subunit ribosomal RNA
Source: RNAcentral
AACGAACGCUGGCGGCAGGCCUAACACAUGCAAGUCGAGCGGACCCUUCGGGGUUAGCGGCGGACGGGUGAGUAACGCGUGGGAAUAUGCCCUUCUCUACGGAAUAGUCCUGGGAAACUGGGGGUAAUACCGUAUACGCCCUUUGGGGGAAAGAUUUAUCGGGGAAGGAUUAGCCCGCGUUGGAUUAGGUAGUUGGUGGGGUAUUGGCCUACCAAGCCGACGAUCCAUAGCUGGUUUGAGAGGAUGAUCAGCCACACUGGGACUGAGACACGGCCCAGACUCCUACGGAAGGCAGCAGUGGGGAAUUUAAGACAAUGGGUGCAACCCUAAGAAGGCCAUGCCGCGUGAGUGAUGAAGGCCUUAGGGUUGUAAAGCUCUUUAAGAUGGGAAGAUAAUGACGGUACCAGCAGAAGAAGCCCCGGCUAACUCCGUG